AUUGAACGCUGGCGGCAGGCCUAACACAUGCAAGUCGAGCGGAUGAAGGGAGCUUGCUCCUGGAUUCCGCGGCGGACGGGUGAGUAAUGCCUAGGAAUCUGCCUGGUAGUGGGGGAUAACGUCCGGAAACGGGCGCUAAUACCGCAUACGUCCUGAGGGGGAAAGUGGGGGAUCUUCGGACCUCACGCUAUCAGAUGAGCCUAGGUCGGAUUCGCUAGUUGGUGGGGUAAAGGCCUACCAAGGCGACGAUCCGUAACUGGUCUGUGAGGAUGAUCAGUCACACUGGAACUGAGACACGGUCCAGACUCCUACGGGAGGCAGCAGUGGGGAAUAUUGGACAAUGGGCGAAAGCCUGAUCCAGCCAUGCCGCGUGUGUGAAGAAGGUCUUCGGAUUGUAAAGCACUUUAAGUGGGGAGGAAGGGCAGUAAGUUAAUACCUUGCUGUUUUGACGUUACCAACAGAAUAAGCACCGGCUAACUUCGUG
This 484-nucleotide ribosomal RNA is filed under the name uncultured bacterium. Its description in RNAcentral is "partial 16S ribosomal RNA". It matches the Rfam family "Bacterial small subunit ribosomal RNA", at positions 30 to 507 of the family's 1533-position model. The record is from RNAcentral.